RNAcentral lists this ribosomal RNA (497 nucleotides) under uncultured bacterium. Its description in RNAcentral is "partial 16S ribosomal RNA". It matches the Rfam family "Bacterial small subunit ribosomal RNA", at positions 28 to 507 of the family's 1533-position model. The record is from RNAcentral.
GAUGAACGCUGGCGGCGUGCCUAAUACAUGCGAGUCGAGCGAACAGAUGAGGAGCUUGCUCCUCUGACGUUAGCGGCGGACGGGUGAGUAACACGUGGAUAACCUACCUAUAAGACUGGGAUAACUUCGGGAAACCGGAGCUAAUACCGGAUAAUAUAUUGAACCGCAUGGUUCAAUAGUGAAAGACGGUUUUGCUGUCACUUAUAGAUGGAUCCGCGCCGCAUUAGCUAGUUGGUAAGGUAACGGCUUACCAAGGCAACGAUGCGUAGCCGACCUGAGAGGGUGAUCGGCCACACUAGAACGGAGACACGGUCCAGACUCCUACGGGAGGCAGCAGUAGGGAAUCUUCCGCAAUGGGCGAAAGCCUGACGGAGCAACGCCGCGUGAGUGAUGAAGGUCUUCGGAUCGUAAAACUCUGUUAUUAGGGAAGAACAAAUGUGUAAGUAACUAUGCACGUCUUGACGGUACCUAAUCAGAAAGCCACGGCUAACUACGUG